Molecule: ribosomal RNA, 857 nt
Filed under: marine bacterium CS-25
Lineage: Bacteria
Description: bacterial SSU rRNA
Rfam family: Bacterial small subunit ribosomal RNA
Source: RNAcentral
CACGCAGCUACCAUGCAGUCGAGGGGUAACAUUGUGCUUGCACAGAUGACGACCGGCGCACGGGUGCGUAACGCGUAUAGAACCUACCUUUUACAGAGGGAUAGCCUUUAGAAAUGAAGAUUAAUACCUCAUAGUAUUGCGAUUUGGCAUCAGAUUGUAAUUAAAGAUUUAUCGGUAAAAGAUGGCUAUGCGUCCUAUUAGUUAGUUGGUAAGGUAACGGCUUACCAAGACAUCGAUAGGUAGGGGUCCUGAGAGGGAGAUCCCCCACACUGGUACUGAGACACGGACCAGACUCCUACGGGAGGCAGCAGUGAGGAAUAUUGGACAAUGGAGGAGACUCUGAUCCAGCCAUGCCGCGUGCAGGAAGACUGCCCUAUGGGUUGUAAACUGCUUUUAUACAGGAAGAAACACUAGUACGUGUACUAGCUUGACGGUACUGUAAGAAUAAGGACCGGCUAACUCCGUGCCAGCAGCCGCGGUAAUACGGAGGGUCCGAGCGUUAUCCGGAAUCAUUGGGUUUAAAGGGUCCGCAGGCGGUCGAUUAAGUCAGAGGUGAAAUCCCAUAGCUUAACUAUGGAACUGCCUUUGAUACUGGUUGACUUGAGUCAUAUGGAAGUAGAUAGAAUGUGUAGUGUAGCGGUGAAAUGCAUAGAUAUUACACAGAAUACCGAUUGCGAGGCAGUCUACUACGAUGUCCGACGCUCAUGGUACGAAGCGUUGGGGGAGCGACAGGAUUAGAUUCCCUGUAGUCCACGCCGUAACGAUGGACACUAGUUGUUUGGGAUUUUAUCUCAUGACUAGCGUAUUGGAUAGUGCCCACCUGGCUGAGUACGAUCGCAGUAUUAAAUAUUAUGAAU